UACUGCUACAGACGAGCACCAUGCUGAAGAGCUACAAAGUUCAGGAUGACUGAAAAAGUAAGUUAUUACAAAUUAUUAUGUAUUCAUGGUCGUUUCCAUUUCCGUCGAUGUGUAAGUUUUUUUUGCUGUCUACAUAUUAGAAAUGAUACAGAACAAAUAGAAACACUAUGGCUAAAGUUAUCACAGAGAAACAUCACUUCCUUCGUGUCAUUUGUCAUUUUUCAAUUGCGGUUUUUAACUCCAUCUUAAAUCUGAUCCUCGUUCCACAUGCACACCUAUUCUGGGAAGUGGUGAGAAAAUAGCCACAAGCAUCCUCGACCACCUCUUCUAGAACAUCAACUUCGACACCCACCACCAGUGCGUUUCUCACUAAGAAAGACACACAGGUUUGGAGGCAUGGAUCCAUCUGGACAUCGUGGACAUCAUCCCGGUGGCACAUUUCUUCAAAAUCACUCCCAGAAUCACUCAAGCAGGAAUCACUCUCGUCCUGAAUGUACGUGCGGGUGAGCUCACUGUCUCCUGGAGGAAAAUAUACACGAGGAGGACAAAUGAAAUCCAAGCACAGAGCUGUUAACUGAAGCUUGCUGUUAUAAAACUCAAAAUUAAAACUAGUAGAGCCCCUUCAGUGUUCUCUCAAAAACCAUUUCUCCAAAAGACAUCUAGACACGAAACCCCGAAUAAGCACUCAAGUGGCAGAGACGCCUCGUUGUUCUGUAUAUUAUCAUGUGUAUUGUGGUAAAUUUUUCAAAUUCAAAUUUUAUUGGUCUCACACACACAACCAUACACAGUGCAGUGAAAGGCGCUUUUUUUGACUGUCCGUGACAUAAAAAUAGAAUUUACAAAAACCAGAAUUUACUU
Molecule: long non-coding RNA, 858 nt
Organism: Ictalurus furcatus (blue catfish)
Lineage: Eukaryota; Metazoa; Chordata; Actinopteri; Siluriformes; Ictaluridae
Exons: 3
Source: RefSeq, a predicted model, not a curated record